This is a long non-coding RNA of Pseudopipra pipra, 1095 nucleotides long. RefSeq lists it as uncharacterized. The record is from RefSeq and is a predicted model, not a curated record. Lineage: Eukaryota; Metazoa; Chordata; Aves; Passeriformes; Pipridae. The transcript is spliced from 3 exons.
CACCCGUGUCACCCGUGCCAGUCUGGCCGGGGGCUGACGGCUCGGGCUGCGUUUUUGGGGCUGAGGGCUCUGCUUCCCCCAAAGCCUCUAGAUGGCAAUCGCUCGCAGCGCUGCCGCUUUCCGGAGCUCGCUGGAAAAAUUGAGGCUCUUGGAGCCACCCCUUUUCUUGCCAGAAAGCCUGGCUAUUGCAUCCUGCAGAACAACGCUCAGAGCCCGAGGUUGUUUCCAGCAUCCUUUGUGCCUUGCUCCCUGCUGGUUCGCCGUGCAGGGGCCACAGCAGCUCCCCGGCGAUGCGUCCCUUCCGAUUCCCCUCUCCUCACACGGUGCUUCGGGAGCGAGAAGGACGAGCCAUCAGCCCCGACAUCGGCACCUGUGGCUCGCAGGGACAUAACAUACCUGGAGAAAAAUAAUCAUUAAAUCACCCAUUUUAUUCCUAGCUGGCUGGAAAAGGCUUUCCCCGCUGUAUCCGAACUUAAAAGUGUCUUUUUAAGUGCAGAGUGACUGGCUUGGCUGCCUUGCUGCCGUGGGGGCUGAGGUGGGCUGAGCCCGGGGCACCCCAGAUUUGGCUGCCCUCAGCCAGGAGCCACUUGCCAGGUGCUCCCCGUGGGGCCAUGAGGGACAGGGACCAGCUGGAUCCUGCUGCGGAUGCUGGGACUGGAGAAGUUUUGAGCUGGGAAACUGCAAACAUCGGCUGUCCCCGGCGAUGGGCGCUGUAAAUGGCAUUUAUUGUCUUGAAAGGAGAGUGCUCCCAGCCCCGGGCGUUGCUCACAGCAGCUGCUGGGCAGGUUUCUGAGCUGCUUACAGAGUGGGCAGCCAGGCAGUGGGGUUUCACAGGAAGACCCUCGAUUUGCUGUAUCUGCUGCAUCCUGCCUCCAGCUAAGGACAAGGCUUGGCUCAUCCCACAGCCCUGGCUCAUGCUGCAGCCCCAGCUCAUCCUGCAGCCCUGGCUCAUCCCACUGCCACCCUCCACCUCGAGCUUCCCAGAAAUGGGUCAGCUUGGCUUUGUCUGGAUCUGACCGGCAACCUCUGCACCGGGAGCUGCAUCAGGAGCUUCCCCAUUCGCUGCUGGUUUGGUCUGGAGCAGCCGUGCCCAGG